UGCCAUGUAGUGUUUGCAGAAUAAAUAGGAGGACAUCAGCUUCACCAGUGCAUGUUUUAUGAGGGUAAUAUUCAAAAUCUUGACUCUUUUAUUCUGUGUAUUGUAGCCAAAUUCAUUAAUUUUAAAAUCUGUGUCCUUUCCUCCACAGAUUUUAGACUAAGCAUGAAUUAGCAGUGUGGGUGGCAGAUAAUACACAAACUCUGCAUAGUUCCGGUAAUAUUGUUGGCCUUUCCCCUCCAGUUUAUAAGUCAAUUUUGGCAACAGCAACCUAUGUCAAAUGUGAGCUGCUCUCUGAUCAGGUUACAGCCUACGCAGCAACACGAAUUAAGUUUUUCUCUCGUAGGACUAUGGGUGGAAAAUAUAAUCAAAAUUAGCAGAUAAAUGAAUAAAAUCUCAAGGACAAUGACUGAAUAAACAUGUCUGCUAAGCAAUUUUCUAACAGGAAAAUCUGGCAUCUCUCACGUGAGGAGAAAUACGGGGGAGGAAAGGAACACUUAGCUGCUGAGCCUGAACAAGCAGAGAAACAGAGACUCGUGAGUGAUGUCAAACACCAGGUUCUUGGGCUGCCUCUUGACCUGAUGCCUGACCUGCCCUUGGAUGCCCAGGAUAUGAAAGAUUUCUGCCCGAGUCUGCCCUGGUCUCCUUUCUUCCACUCUGAGAUUUCCCACAUAGAUGCCGAAAAGAUUUUCUUCUUGUAACCUUGAACCCUUCCACAAGCCCAUCUCCAUGCCCACAUUAGUAAGCCUGAGCUUAUGGUCCAAUGGAUGGAUUUUGAACCAUCCCCAACACAUCCUCACUCCUGCUCUUCCCAGUAAGCCCCGAGAGCACCGUCUCUGUGUUGUCCCUGCCAGUUUACAGACCUAAGGCACAGCCUUGGAGAGGGGAGCCCAGCAGGAGCAGAGCAGCAAGCCAAAAGCAAAAUCAUCCCCACGAUCUUACUGUCGGGCUUACUGCAUGAAGAAACCCAACACACAAACCAGGCUUGCCAUGCGGAUGAGGUGUCAGCAGCUUUGAACUCCUCGUCAUGAGGCUCGUGCCCCUGUUUGCAGCUCAGCACUCUGCCACAUCUCCUUUGGCUGGGGCUCGUUUGCGGUGCUGUCAGAGCACCAACAGGUCCCGUAUGGCAGCGCACGGAGUCAAGGCGUUCUCCUGGUGUAUCCAUCACUAUCUCCGUCUCGUUGCCAAGCACUUCAAGCUUUCAUCAGAUCAAUUUUCUCCCUUUGAAAGAAAAGAGGCUUGUUAACUUGUGUGUGGGGCAAUGGGAAGCACUCACCUGCCUCUCCCCAGGGUGCUGUGCAGGCGUGGAGGGAUUUGGGAAACGCGGUGAAAGCAGCUCAGGGUUCUGGCUGUGCUCACUGUAAGCCUUUGAAAUACUGAGACUGGCUCAGUGGCUGGAUGGAGGCUUGCAAAGGGGUGGACAGAUGACCAAAUGUCUGUAAUAGGUGGGUUUUAUGAGCUUCUGCUCUUUUCUGGAUGCUUGCCUUCUGCAUGGGCUUCUCAUUCCCAGACUCAUCGCUUUGAGAAGGUGAAGGCAGGGAAGUGGGGAAACACAGGCUGGAUUUUGCCCAUGUCUCAUUGGAGAGGGAAAGUCGUGGGGUAUCAGCAAGGGGCUCUGUGUCCCUCAGGUCUGUGUGGGGCCAGUCCUGAAUGUGUUUUUUUUCUGGUUCUGCCUUCAGCUCUGGUUCCUCAUCCCAAAGCCCUCCCUGCCAGGCCUCCUGUUCUCCCCACUGACCGCCCACUGCUCUGAAAUCACUCCCCAUGGAGUUGAGCAGUUCAAAGACAACAGAGGCACCAGAUUAAUCAUUCCUCCCCUGCUUCUCUCCCCAGCCCAAAUGGCUAAAGUGUCUUUAUUAUUAAAAAACAGAAUAAAACAGAGCAACACACACAAGAAAAGCCCUAGCGAGGGAGACAGACACAAAGCAAAGGAAAAGGAAAGGGUUAGGCUGCAAGCUGCAAAUAAGCACCAUCAAUCAUAGUGCAGUCAAAAAAUGUACAUGUGUUGGUACCUGCGCGUUAUUGGCAGGACUCAAGAAGCCUCCUGAGUACAAUCUUCAGGGCUCCUUAGAUAAAUAAAUAAAUAAAAAAAUUCCAUGUCCCUCUGAAAAACUGCUUGUCAGCACCGGAAUGGCAGGUGCAUUAACUCCCUAAGAACCAGAUUAUGCCCUGCACGGCAAAAAAAUGCAAACACAGAGAAAUAAGAUGUCAGUCAACUCCUGUAUCCUCCUGGUGUUUUUGUUGUUGUUUAUUUGUUUGUUUUGAUGAAAAGUACUUUGAAAUAUAAAUGCAGUCCUUUGUACAAAUGGAUCCAGGAAAGAGAGACAUACAAAUGCAUUCGUGGUCCAGCUAUCCUGCUUGCAUAUUUACCCUAAAUUUGCAUCUGCCCAACAUAUAAAUUUUAUUUUCUUUUAGUACUCCACAACGAUAGCUGAAAAGUUAAGAUUUGGUUAGGAAAUAGCCUCUACUGCUGCUCUGAUCUCGAGUCCCUUGGUGGGCUUCCCAUCCCCUCCUGUAAUCCUGCCAGACCUUGACACAUCCCAGUGCCACCUGGCUGCCUGCCCACCCCUUGCCUUGGCUCCUCUUAGCUCUGAAAUGUUUCCUCUAAACACCCACCUCUUCGAGAGCUACUGUCUUUUUCCCUUAGACCUAUACUGCACUCUCCCUUUCCUUGUCUUUUCUUUUAUCCUCUUUAGCUGAGGACUUCAAGUUGCUGGUGAUAUGGCCUGGGCUAUUCUGCAGAUGUGCUCUACAUCUCUGGAGCUGCUCCCGUCCUUCUGCUCCUCCCUGCUCCUUUUCAUAUAUAUAUAUAAGAAUAUAUAUAUAAUAUUCAUAUAUAUAUAUAAAGUAUAUAUAUUGUGUGCAUAUCUAUAACAUAUAUACAUUUUUUUUCCAGUGGAAGCUGUGAAGAAGCAAGUUCCUCUCCCAGGAUGAGUAAAGUUUGCAUGACCUUGUGCCAUGUAGAUAAAUGUUUUUGUGCAAAAGGCCAUUAGCCCUUCCCUGAACCUGGCAAUGUGUUUCUAAGAUUCUUAUCACAUGUAGAAAGACACCAAUUACUUUUAGCUGUGGGUGAGCCAGCUGUUCCUAGGACAACCUUCAGCCCUCCCAAGGACAGCAGAGGUGUCUGCUUGUUCCUGCUCAACCCUCCUGGGGACCAGGGCUGGGCGGCUCUUGGGGCUGGGUGAUGGUUGAGGUGAGUGUGGUGGAGUCGCACAGGAGGGCUGCAUCCCAGUGCCUGACCUAGCCAUGCCUGGACCAGGGAUAAUUUGGCAUCAGCACAGAGAAGCUGGCAUGAUGACAGUGACCCUGGGUGGCCACCUGGGCCAAACUCAUCACCUGGAGCCCAAAGACACUUUGCUUCAUUGCAAAUUCACAGAUCCAUUUGUUUCUCUCUGGGGGGUGUUUUGAUAAGAUAGGCCUGGUGCUACACCUUCUGUUGUGUAAUGGAGACGUUUCUAAAAGAUUUUUUUUUUUUUUUUCUUGGCUUGAUUUUAAAUUAAUCAGGCUCAAAGAUUUAUGAGCCUCUGAAAACUGUUUCUUCAGGGAUGCCCCUUGAUUGCACUGAAGGCAGAGUGGAGAUCUGAAUUUUCAGCAUGGCUUCCUGUCGGAAACAGAUCAAUAGCCUCAUAAGGAGGAUCUUGUUUCAGAGUGGGAAAACAACAAUUAAGCUGGCAUUUAUCUGUUACUGAUUCAGGAUAACAAAAACAAAAAAAUCACGUUACAGAAAUGUACAGAAGUAGGCUUGUCUGCCUUAUCCAUGUCUGAACGAAUUCAGAGCAGGAUCUCCAAAGGCAGCAAAACUCUGUCGCAAUAUUGAAACAGUCAUAAAAUGUAGCUGAAGCUUUUCUGUCAGGUGGACGAGCUGUGCCUUCUUAAUUUUGGGGUUUUUGCUCUCUUUUCCUCACAGCAUCUCACCUGAAUCCUUGUGCUUCCCAGUGACGGCAGAGCCUGGCCACCCAUGCUGCAGAGAUGACAGGUUGGAGGACAAGAGCAGGGCUGGGGCCGUCCCCAGGGCUGCUGUACAUGGCCAGAACAUCAGGUUCGGAGGCUCUCCAUCAGCAUGCUGUGAAGGUCAUAAAAUAGCGAGCGGCAGAAGUAACCAGAGCCUGGGGCUGGCCCGGAUCGCUCUUUCCUUUCAGAAUUAAGGAGGCUGCUCGGAGCUGCUUGCGAAGCGAUUGCAUUGAAGAACCCCAAACUGGCUUCCACGGGGAACCGUGGCCUCCUUGCUCUGCGAUAUGCCCUCCUCCGGUCCAGCAGCUUUCUCUUCCAGACCACAGAUUUAUUUAAUUUAGGUCCUACUGUUGGCAGAGGUUUUGCAGUGGGCUGUGGGUUAGGAAAAAGUAAAGAAUUUUUCCUUAAGCAAAAAGGAGAUGACAUUGCACAGAAAAAAUAGAGCAAAGAAUAGUUUGUUGGCCGUUUUUCUUUUCUGCCUUGCUUCUGUGUGUGAUGCCAGCAAAAGGAAUUGCAUUUUGGAGUGAUUUAAUGAAAAAAUGACUUUUAUUUCUAACUCCUUUGCCUGCUUCAGAGCAGAAGGGCCACACGAUGGAGCUCUGGGGCUUCCGUCGGGGCCUGCCUGGAUUCACGCAUAAAAAGCCGUUUGGAGACCUUGAAAUUCUGGUUUUUAUUAAUUUUUCACUCAGUUUAAUUUUUACAUUCAUUUUAAAAUGGUAAAUGUUCUAGACAUUAUAAUUGUAAAAUGUAAUUUAUGGUUGCUAGCUGAAGGUAUUUACUUUUGCUUUCUUAAGAUUGGAACUUUUAUUUUUAUUUUUAUGACUGUAACAGGGUAACAUUUUUCAAUCUCGUGAGAGGCUGGCAUCCCAGAGACAGCCUCUGGGAGUUGGACCAUAUAAUUCUUCCAAAUGACACCCUGACUGUGUUGGGGAAGCUCUCAGGCCUCUCCAGGUCUAUAUGCAAAUAUUAAGCACCGGCCUUCCUGCACGUGUGAGAGAAUAAAUGAUGUUUUGGAGUGCUCCUUGUUCCUGGUUAUCAGUGAGCACUCAGCUGGUAAAAUUAAACCAGUGCAGUGCGUUUGAAAAAGUGGAUUCUUCAAUUAGAAUAAAAGCAUGUAAAAUCCCAAA
Molecule: long non-coding RNA, 5072 nt
Organism: Anas platyrhynchos (mallard)
Lineage: Eukaryota; Metazoa; Chordata; Aves; Anseriformes; Anatidae
Source: RefSeq, a predicted model, not a curated record